Molecule: ribosomal RNA, 274 nt
Filed under: uncultured bacterium
Lineage: Bacteria
Description: partial 16S ribosomal RNA
Rfam family: Bacterial small subunit ribosomal RNA
Source: RNAcentral
AUACGGAGGGUGCAAGCGUUAAUCGGAAUUACUGGGCGUAAAGCGUGCGUAGGUGGUUUGUUAAGUCAGAUGUGAAAGCCCCGGGCUCAACCUGGGAACUGCAUUUGAAACUGGCAUACUAGAGUAUAGGAGAGGAAAGUGGAAUUUCAGGUGUAGCGGUGAAAUGCGCAGAUAUCUGAAGGAACAUCAAUGGCGAAGGCAGCUUUCUGGACUAAUACUGACACUGAGGUACGAAAGCGUGGGUAGCAAACAGGAUUAGAAACCCUAGUAGUCC